AGCGAACGCUGGCGGCGUGCUUAAUACAUGCAAGUCGAACGGACGUAGCAAUACGUUAGUGGCGACCGGGUGCGUAACACGUAGCUGACCUGCCCCCUCAGCGGGGGACAACAGGACGAAAGUCUUGCUAAUACCGCAUACAUUUAUAGUGUUUAGAAGGCUAUAAAGAAACUUCAGGGGGUUGAGGGAGGGAGCUGCGGCCCAUCAGGUAGUUGGUGAGGUAGAAGCUCACCAAGCCGACGACGGGUAGGGGGCCUGAGAGGGUGGUCCCCCACACUGGGACUGACACACGGCCCAGACUCCUACGGGAGGCAGCAGUAAGGGAAUCUUCCACAAUGGACGAAAGUCUGAUGGAGCAACGCCGCGUGCAGGA
Molecule: ribosomal RNA, 373 nt
Filed under: uncultured bacterium
Lineage: Bacteria
Description: bacterial SSU rRNA
Rfam family: Bacterial small subunit ribosomal RNA
Source: RNAcentral